CGCCGGGAACCGCGCGGCAGUAGGGUCGUAAACUCCGCCAGGGCCGGAAGGCAGCAACGGUAGCGAACCCGCUGGGCGACGCGAUCUUCCCGGUACUC
This 98-nucleotide signal recognition particle RNA is filed under the name bacterium. RNAcentral describes it as "signal recognition particle sRNA small type". It matches the Rfam family "Bacterial small signal recognition particle RNA". Rfam says of the family: The signal recognition particle (SRP) is a universally conserved ribonucleoprotein involved in the co-translational targeting of proteins to membranes. Archaeal SRP consists of a 7S RNA and homologues of the eukaryotic SRP19 and SRP54 proteins. The record is from RNAcentral.